This 25-nucleotide non-coding RNA is filed under the name Rattus norvegicus (Norway rat). Lineage: Eukaryota; Metazoa; Chordata; Mammalia; Rodentia; Muridae. The record is from RNAcentral.
AUAAUGUUGAUGGAUUUGUCCCCUA